CCCAAACAACUGUUGAUACUUCCUCGAGGUCGGUAUUAUUUUUGGCAACUACAUUUAGAUAACGAUGAAUGAAAAGUUAAUUUAAUUUUCUCGAAUUUUUAUUUAUUUAUUUUUAAAGCUGGGUAAUUAUUUUUUUUAAAAAUUGUCAUUGAACGCCACAGCCGGCGAUUGAGCUGCCAUGGCCAAAACUCCUGCGUAACCCUAAAGCUUUCUCAGUCUUCGUUCUUUCUCUCUAUUUCCCUGUACUCCUGCCCUUUCUCUCUCUAAAGCUAUGUCACCUGCGGCUACGAAUCCCAAAGCCGGAUGGGAAGUUCCGUUUAAGUAUGUUGUGGAGCUUGCAAGAGGCUCGGUGCCUGGAGUGCAUCAUGUCUAUUUGCUAGCCAGACAAGUAUUGUCACUGGAUGUAGAUUGGAGUUAUGUUGAAUCCACAGAUAUGCUGGCUUUUGAAAAUUCAGUGGAUCCAUGCAUGAUAUGAGGAAAGUAGGGGUUCAUAUGUCAUCUGUAAACAAUUUGGUCUAAAAGAUAAAUAUAUUCAGAAAGAACAUCACCACAUUGGUUAAAGCAUUUCAGGAAUGUUGGCGAUUAAGAGAACCUGCUGACCUUGUAUGAUUCUCCCAAUAACAUUUGAUUGGUGAGCAGAUUUUGCUGAUUGUGCUAACCAGCUGAAUUAGCUUUGCUAGUAAGGUAGUUUUAUAUGUGCUCCUUUUGUUCGUAUUUUGCAGACGGUACUUAGGGGUAGCCUCAAAGGUAUUGAUGAAAUGUCAAGCACGAAAGCACCUGUACUUCUCUCAAUACUUAAGUUGAUUAACAAAUAUCAUAUUUAUA
This is a long non-coding RNA of Vitis riparia (riverbank grape), 825 nucleotides long. RefSeq lists it as uncharacterized. The transcript has 2 exons. The record is from RefSeq and is a predicted model, not a curated record. NCBI's taxonomy places the organism in Eukaryota, Viridiplantae, Streptophyta, Magnoliopsida, Vitales, Vitaceae.